This 76-nucleotide transfer RNA is filed under the name Endomicrobium sp. RNAcentral describes it as "tRNA-Glu". It matches the Rfam family "tRNA". From Rfam's summary of the family: Transfer RNA (tRNA) molecules are approximately 80 nucleotides in length. Their secondary structure includes four short double-helical elements and three loops (D, anti-codon, and T loops). Lineage: Bacteria; Pseudomonadati; Elusimicrobiota; Endomicrobiia; Endomicrobiales; Endomicrobiaceae. The record is from RNAcentral. RNAcentral also lists the same sequence under 1 other name.
GCCCCUAUCGUCUAGUGGUCUAGGACACAUGAUUUUCAAUCAUGCGACACGAGUUCAACUCUCGUUGGGGGCGCCA